This 274-nucleotide ribosomal RNA is filed under the name uncultured bacterium. Its description in RNAcentral is "partial 16S ribosomal RNA". It matches the Rfam family "Bacterial small subunit ribosomal RNA", at positions 523 to 796 of the family's 1533-position model. The record is from RNAcentral.
ACACGGGGGGGGCAAGCGUUGUCCGGAUUCACUGGGCGUAAAGGGCGUGUAGGCGGGCAGGCAAGUCGAAGGUGAAAUUCUACGGCUCAACCGUAGAACUGCCUUCAAUACUGCUUGUCUUGAGUUCGGGAGAGGGAGGCGGAAUUCCCGGUGUAGCGGUGAAAUGCGUAGAUAUCGGGAAGAACACCGGUGGCGAAGGCGGCCUCCUGGCCCGAUACUGACGCUGAGGCGCGAAAGCGUGGGGAGCAAACAGGAUUAGAUACCCUAGUAGUCC